UGCAUGGCCGUCGUCAGCUCGUGUCGUGAGAUGUUGGGUUAAGUCCCGCAACGAGCGCAACCCUUGUCAUUAGUUGCCAUCAUUUAGUUGGGCACUCUAAUGAGACUGCCGGUGACAAACCGGAGGAAGGUGGGGGAUGACGUCAAGUCCUCAUGGCCCUUAUGGGUAGGGCUUCACACGUCAUACAAUGGUCGGUACAGAGGGUUGCCAAGCCGCGAGGUGGAGCCAAUCCCUUAAAGCCGAUCGUAGUCCGGAUCGUAGUCUGCAACUCGACUACGUGAAUCGGAAUCGCUAGUAAUCGCAGAUCAGCAUGCUGCGGUGAAUACGUUCCCGGGUCUU
This 339-nucleotide ribosomal RNA is filed under the name uncultured Thauera sp. RNAcentral's name for it is "bacterial SSU rRNA". It matches the Rfam family "Bacterial small subunit ribosomal RNA", at positions 1042 to 1382 of the family's 1533-position model. The record is from RNAcentral. Lineage: Bacteria; Pseudomonadati; Pseudomonadota; Betaproteobacteria; Rhodocyclales; Zoogloeaceae.